UAAAUAAUAUACCGAGACCUUGUCCAUAAAUAUUUAUAUGUACAAGUUACAUAGAAUAUAUAUGGGGUAGCGGAACUUGGGCAUAUUCAGAUUUUUUCUUUUUAAGACUUAAGAUUAGAUUACCCAAGUGAUAAUGCUGACAUGAGUAACGAUAAAGGGUUUAUACCCUCGCCUAAAGCUUAUGGAAUUUACUUAAAGUAACGGCCUUUAGUUUAAAUUUGCUUUACUUUACUGGGUUUUUUAGCUUAAUUAAAAACGUGAUAAAGUAAAGUUACCUAAUGGUAUAAACGAUGAGAAAAAAAAAUUUUUUUUUUUAGAAAAAAUCUAAGUUUUACGGUAAAUAAGAAUGGAUACUUAUGGAAACACAUUGAACGCGUAAAGUUGAAAAGUGUGUUUAAGUUUUCUCUAAAGAAAAAAAAUAUUUAGUGGGUUUUGACUAAACACACUAUAUAAAUAAAAACAGCAUUUGUGUUGGUAUACUAGAGCUAGGGUACCUGUUAAAAUAGUAACUGAAAGUAAGGUGAUAGUUACUAACUAAAGUGACAAAUGCUCUGGAAAAACGUAAAACUAGCAUGCUUAAUUAGAGUAUAGACGAGGCGGAUCGUCCCUUGUCUAUAAAAUGCUAAGU
This 628-nucleotide ribosomal RNA is filed under the name Rhizocarpon geographicum. RNAcentral describes it as "partial large subunit ribosomal RNA". Lineage: Eukaryota; Fungi; Ascomycota; Lecanoromycetes; Rhizocarpales; Rhizocarpaceae. The record is from RNAcentral.